GGCCUGGUGGUCUAGUAGUAUGAUUCCUUCUUAGGGUUCCCUUUCAAAAGUGUCGUUUGGAGGAGGUCCCGGGUUCAAUUCCCGGCCAGGCCC
Molecule: transfer RNA, 93 nt
Filed under: Lentinus tigrinus ALCF2SS1-7
Lineage: Eukaryota; Fungi; Basidiomycota; Agaricomycetes; Polyporales; Polyporaceae
Description: tRNA-Pro
Rfam family: tRNA
About the family: Transfer RNA (tRNA) molecules are approximately 80 nucleotides in length. Their secondary structure includes four short double-helical elements and three loops (D, anti-codon, and T loops).
Source: RNAcentral